RNAcentral lists this ribosomal RNA (272 nucleotides) under uncultured archaeon. Its description in RNAcentral is "partial 16S ribosomal RNA". It matches the Rfam family "Archaeal small subunit ribosomal RNA", at positions 301 to 574 of the family's 1478-position model. The record is from RNAcentral.
GCCCGUCCCGCCGCCCCCGCCCGCCCUACGGGGCGCAGCAGGCGCGAAAACUUUACCAUGCGGGCAACCGUGAUAAGGAAACCCCGAGUGCCAGCACAGGCUGGCUGUCCACCAGUGUAAAUAACUGGUGAAGAAAGGGCCGGGCAAGACCGGUGCCAGCCGCCGCGGUAAUACCGGCGGCUCGAGUGGUGGCCGCUAUUACUGGGCUUAAAGGGUCCGUAGCUGGAUAUACAAGUCCCUUGAGAAAUCCGCCAGCUUAACCGGCGGGCGUU